This 19-nucleotide microRNA is filed under the name Gallus gallus (chicken). RNAcentral's name for it is "microRNA Ros-gga". The record is from RNAcentral. Lineage: Eukaryota; Metazoa; Chordata; Aves; Galliformes; Phasianidae.
UAGUGUGUCUCAUCCUUCC